This 381-nucleotide ribosomal RNA is filed under the name Triticum aestivum (bread wheat). RNAcentral describes it as "partial small subunit ribosomal RNA". The record is from RNAcentral. Lineage: Eukaryota; Viridiplantae; Streptophyta; Magnoliopsida; Poales; Poaceae.
AUGUUGUUGUUGGUGGUGGUUGGCGAGGUGACGCUGGAAGGCGCGGAGGCGUCGUCGACGAAAGAGAAAAAGAAGAGGACAUACCGUACAGCUGCCCACCACUGCUCACCUCGAUGGCUCGACCACCUCUGCUGUGCCGCAGACGACACAGGGGGAGGCCGAGGUGAUCAUCGACGGUGCUCACCCCGACCCCAUUGGGAUCUAGGGGAAGGGGCUAUGGCGGCAGCGGCACUGGGAGAGGCGGCGGCACUGGGAGAGGCAGCGGCGCUCGGAGAGGAGGCACCUACUUUAUUUCUACUUCUACUUUUCUUCUGCACCUAUAGUUUCAAUGCUUUAUCUGCUCGUGGAGCUAUGCUUCUGUUGCAUUGGGCUAAGGUUUGA